This is a long non-coding RNA of Oreochromis aureus, 488 nucleotides long. NCBI's taxonomy places the organism in Eukaryota, Metazoa, Chordata, Actinopteri, Cichliformes, Cichlidae. The record is from Ensembl.
UUUGUUGUUGCACGCAUUCUCGGUACACAAGCUCGCGUGCACGGCUUCGUUAUCUCAUACUAGCGAAUCGGUACCCUCCGCGUGCGCCCUGUUAGCUGCUGUAAAGCGUUUUUUUUUCCGUUCUGGACAACAUGGACAGGAAGUGAAGCCAGCUCUGAGAAUAAUCUAAAGGCACCCGUGACAGUUUGUAACAUCAGAACUACCGUAAGCUGAAGUCUGAUUGGAGGAAUGGCGUGCCAAUCGACCCUGCACCAGUGAUCAGGGUAUGUGGCAGUCCUCCCACUAUAACUCUUCUCUUACUGCAUACAGUAAUGUGCCUGCUGUUUGUCUGUGAAGUGUCUUCAAAGCACUGUAAGAUGUGACUUUUCGGCUUACGUGUUUCAAGCCAUAACUGGUUUGAAACACAUCCCAACAGAAUAUCGUGACUUUUUUAGCAGUUUCACUGUUAGGCUUCACUGGCUACUAAGCAUGGAUGUGAAUGAUAGGGA